AACGAACGCUGGCGGCAUGCCUAACACAUGCAAGUCGAACGAGAUCUUCGGGUCUAGUGGCGCACGGGUGCGUAACGCGUGGGAAUCUGCCCUUUGGUUCGGAAUAACAGUUGGAAACGACUGCUAAUACCGGAUGAUGACGAAAGUCAAAAGAUUUAUCGCAAGAGGAUGAGCCCGCGUAGGAUUAGCUAGUUGGUGUGGUAAAGGCGCACCAAGGCGACGAUCCUUAGCUGGUCUGAGAGGAUGAUCAGCCACACUGGGACUGAGACACGGCCCAGACUCCUACGGGAGGCAGCAGUGGGGAAUAUUGGACAAUGGGCGAAAGCCUGAUCCAGCAAUGCUGCGUGAGUGAUGAAGGCCUUAGGGUUGUAAAGCUCUUUUACCCGGGAUGAUAAUGACAGUACCGGGAGAAUAAGCUCCGGCUAACUCCGUGCCAGCCGCCGCAGUAA
RNAcentral lists this ribosomal RNA (449 nucleotides) under uncultured bacterium. Its description in RNAcentral is "partial 16S ribosomal RNA". It matches the Rfam family "Bacterial small subunit ribosomal RNA", at positions 29 to 523 of the family's 1533-position model. The record is from RNAcentral.